GUUUCAGUCAAGAAUUCACUCAUUCGGGGAUCAAGUCUGCUGCUGUCUCUGCUCCAGUCCCAGAUGGAUGAUGGUCUGAGUCACAGAAAAGGUGUGGGCUCAUCUCAGAGUCUCCCAAUGAACCAGGAGCUCACUGAGUGACUGGACUGACUGGACAGAGAGUUUCUGAAAGCUGCCUUCUUCUCUCCCAGAGCUGACAUUACAGACAAGUUCUUCAGCAGGCAACCUCUGUGCCAGGAGGAUCCCUCACCAGGCAUGCCCACGGGGACAUCCAAGAGUCCCUCUUCUUGAACAUGGGAGAAUCUAAGGGAAACAACGGGUCAAAUGCUGGACCAGCAGUCUGCACAGAGGACUGAGUUCAGCUCCUUGGUUCAUACCCUCUUGCUGUGUGAUAAUGAUCAGGUCUCUUUAUCUUUUUCUACAAAAUUGUCUCUUCCUCUAGAAUAACGAAGUCAUCAGACUAGAUCAGGAUUUGUGCAUAUAUACUUUUAGCUACAUAAGGUUAUCUCCAGAGGUCAUUCUGAUGCCAAUAUGGGCACAGUAGAAGCACAUGCAUUUUUCCUUUUGUGUUACAACCCCUCUGUCUGAGAUAUCUUGUGUCCCUUGAUGCACUGCUGUGAAACUCCUGAACAAGAAACUUAUAUAUUUUUAA
This is a long non-coding RNA of Mus caroli (Ryukyu mouse), 652 nucleotides long. RefSeq lists it as uncharacterized. Lineage: Eukaryota; Metazoa; Chordata; Mammalia; Rodentia; Muridae. The record is from RefSeq and is a predicted model, not a curated record.